Non-coding RNA from Bactrocera oleae (olive fruit fly), 5076 nucleotides. NCBI's taxonomy places the organism in Eukaryota, Metazoa, Arthropoda, Insecta, Diptera, Tephritidae. The record is from RefSeq and is a predicted model, not a curated record.
GAAAUUUUGCGAUUUCACUCGUCAUUCAGUCAAAGAUUUUCCAAUAUUGCGUGCACUGCAAUAAGCUCGGUCGAGACGUGUUUUAAAGUCAAUGUGAAAAAAGUGUAAAAUUCAAUUUUAUUUCACUCAUAUUUGAAAACAAAAGCAAAGCAAACCAACCGAAAACAUUUUAUUACAAUUCACUUUAUCACUAAGCGCAGAGAGACACCGAUAUCGAUGUCUCCGCAAUUAGAGAAUGCUUAAGUUACCAAAAGGCUUAAAAAAGAAAAAGAAGAAGUCGAAAAAGGACCAAGAACUCUUCACUGAAGAGGAGCUCGAACAAUAUAAGCGCGAGUUAAAAGCUAAGCAGGAGGCAGCAGCUGCUAAAUCGGACGCUGGUGAAUCGGACGCAGCAUCAGACGUUGAGGGUUUAGCACCAACUGCAGCAUCCACUUCCACCACAGCUCCUGCGCAUACUGAAACAACUGAGUCUAACGCGGAUACUAGCGCUAACGGCGGCGCAGCGCCUGCCGCAGCUACAAAGAGUGCCGAACAGAACGAAGAGUGGGCCAAGUUUAAGGCGCUUACAUCGGGAGUCGAUUCUAUUUUACAUAAAACUCAAGACGAGUUAGAUCGUAUUAAGAAAGAGUCUUUCUAUCAACGUUUACCGUCAGCGGCAGAGAAAAAACGACUCGAAGAAGAAGAAGCUGCACGUCGUGAAGCGGAACGUUUAGAAGAAGAACGUCGUAAAGCAGCUGAAUUUGAGGCACAGCGUGACAAAUUAGCCGAAGCUGUAGUUGAACUCUCCGAAUCGGAAGGGGAACAAGACGAGGAGGUCGAUGACAUCUUCGCUACUGACUAUAUAGAAGCGAUAACUAGAGGAGAAGUACAAUUAGCUGUUGUACCUGAGUCGCCGGUAUUAGAAUUUGACGACGGUCCUGAUCCUUUCGAUACAGCAUAUGCAGAAAAAGUUAUUGUUGGCGCAGAUAAGGCUAAAGGUAAUAAGAAACUCGUCAGUCUUGGUGCGGCGGUUGAAGUCCUCUCCGGACGUGUCGAUCGUGAGCACGCACUUGCCCUUGCGAAACCGAAGCGUAAGCUACGAAAAGGUAUACAGAACUUGUUGCUGAGCGAGAGUAUUGAUCUUGCCGAUCAGGAAGUUGAAAUAGUUGCUGCCGAACCACAGAAAAAUUUACUUGACGAGCUUGUGGAUGAUGUACCACAGUCAGAUGCACCAAUAGAUUUAAGUGUUUCAUUACAUUUGCAUUUGAUACAACAUAAAAAACCAGAAGAAGAAGAGGAGGAGGAGGCGGAAAACGACACCGGUUUACCGGAUUUGUCAGAAUUCGAUGCACUUAAAGACGAUGAUGAUGAUGAGUUUGCUGAAUUAGCAGCCGAAUCGUUAACUAAAAAAGAAGAAGUAAAAGUUAUAACUCAGAUACCACUUCCUCAAGCCGAAGUACUUUCGGAAGUUGUAGACGCAGAUUGGGCAGAAUUUGAACAAGUACCCGAAGAGGAAGCAACAAGUGAAGACAAAGCUAAACCAGCACGUCCUCCACCACCAGCUAGACCUGCCUCUGGGCCGCACUUAGUUACAGGUGCCAUAUACAUAAGUGACGACGAAGAAGACUACGCCGCUGACGAUCCAUUCAAUACUGCAUAUGCUGAGCAAGUCAUCAAAAAGACUACCGUACUAGAAGAAGACGACGACUUUGAUCCACGUGCCGAAGAAAAAUCUGCACCGCCUGUUAAACCACCACCACCAGCUGUAAACUUAUUAUCACAACCAACCCGUGAUUUGUUGGGUGGCAGCGCUACUGAUUUGUCUAAAGUUGGUCCCGCUCCCAUAGCACCUACACAGGAGGUUGAGGAAGACCCUGCUGAUUUUGAUCCGUUCGAUACCUCUGCAGUCAGUGCAAUCGUUCAACCCAAGGCGACGGAACUAAAGUUCUUGGAGCGUGAACUCCUACCUGAAAGUAAUCUUAAGCAUUCACUUAGUGAUCCAGACUUUGAUCCACGUGCAGACGAGCCGGCACCCACUCCAACAAGGGUUGUAGUAGCGCCAUCUCGUCCGGCCGCACCACCUGUGCAAAUUCAAAAUAAUAAUCCGACUAUUGAUUUUGAUACUGCACGACGCAAGUCUUCCCUAAGUUUGAAUAUCCAAUCAAAAAGUGUUGGCUUCUUGGUAUCUUCACAAGAUUUGCUCGGUGCCGCGAAUGACGGUCACGGUAACAAGAAACCAUUGACACCUUAUUACGCACCGACUGGAUCCAAAGAAACAAUUAGUGAAAAGGAGGCAGAAGAUCCAUUCGACACCUCAUACGUACCAGAAGCAAAACCCAGUGAGGUUGAACUGAAGCAUCUCGAAGAAGAUUUACUAACAAAAAACACACUAAAACAUAGUCUAUCCGAUCCCGAUUUCGAUCCACGUGCGCCACCCACACCUGUACCAGCAGAAGAGCUAUUAGCAGUAAAAGAAGACAUAAAGGCCAAGGUACUGACGCCGUCUCAAGAGAGUAAAGAUCUAACAGACGACGCUGUUGAGUAUAUAGACCCGUUUGACACAUCUAUUGCUUCUAAUUUGCAACCAGGCAGAGCAGAGCUAAAACUUUUGGAGAGUGAAUUGCUACCUCCUACAGUUCCACAAAUCACGACUGGUGUGCUUGAUACACAGACAGACGCACAAGAACUCGGUCUAGGCGACAAGGUGUUAACACCUUCGGUACCUGUAAAACAAAUUACACUUCCCGAAGAAGUUGACCCGUUUGAUACUUCAAUUGCGGAGAAUUUGGCACCAGGCGCAACCGAAAUUAAGUUAUUGGAAAGUGAAUUAAUUGAGCGUUAAAUUUAAUAAUCCGGUUGAUUAUAAAACUACUAUAAACCAUAAUGGCAAACCCAUUUUUGAUGGAUGAUGACUUGGAGGGCGUUGACGCCGACCCCACAGCGAACCCUUUCUUCACAAAAGCCGAUGCUGAAGAGGGUGUAGUAGAAACAGAGAAUCCUUUCUCAGGACAAUCGAAUCCAUUUGCAUUUGGCGAUGAACCUGAUGACGGUCCAGCACCUGCAUCGGAUAUUGAUCCUGCAAUGAGCUUCUUUGGCACAACUAUUGAGGCGGAGGAUGAUGCACUUAGCAUUAAGUCUACAGUUGAAGAAGAUGAUGAAACUUCUAAACGAGGUCCACCACCAAGACCAGUGCCACCACAAACGCAAGAACUCAUUAAUACAGUUUCUAACCAAAUGGAGGAGACAAGCUCCGAGUUACUCGGCCGAAUACCUGCUACUCGUUCUCCCAGUCCUGUUUCAAUGCGUGACUUACAUUCACCCAGUCCUACACCGGAUUCUGGCUUGGCUGACUUGUUAGACGUAUCAGAUAGUGGUUCGUCUGGUAAUAUGCAUGGAUUCGAUAUGGAUUUAGUCGGUAGUGGUACUAACAAUAGUGCAGAUAAUCCUUUCGGUGUGCCAACAGCCAUUCCUAGCUUACAUGGUGCAACACCUAUGCCAUCACCAGCAAAGCAGCAACCUCCGCGACCACCACCACCACGUCCAGUACCACCAAGGCCGUCACCACCAAAUGGUAUACCAGCACAACGCAAUCAACCGCCUCCACGACCAACUCCCCCAGCUCCAGAGCCAGUUACUCAGCCCGCUGCUGAGGUAGCAGAUAGUGAAGAUCUGUUCGAUAUGUUUGGUACAUCCAAACCACCUAAACCACCACCACCAAAGAGCAAGGAAGACAUACUUAGUCUAUUUGAAAAGCCAGCUCAACCAGUAUCCAAACCAGAUCUUUUAAGUGAUGAUCUUGUACUUGAGCCUUCCCCAGAAAUGCCAGAUGACGAACAGAAUAUAGAUGGAGAGGAUCCUAUUUUCAGUUCUAUGCUAACUCGACCUGAUGACAGCACACACGAUAUUACAUCUCAACCACAGGCAGCAGAUCUAAACAUAUCGUUGAUAAAUAAUGUGGAAAGAAAAGAACUGGUAGUCGAUGACACUAAACCACGUGCGCCAACUCCGGACAUUGAAAUAACAACUGUAGAAGAUCUUCCACGUUCUGACGAUGAAGAUGAGCCAGAGCCAGUAAAACCAGCACCACCGGUGGUCAUUGAAACCAAGCCAAGUCCCGACGAAGAGGAUGAAGAAGUGGAGAAAGAUGAAAAAGAGGUUGUACCUGCGGCUGCAGAACCCGCAGUCUUUGCAUCUAUCGAUUCUGAUCACAGUCCUCCUACGGAGUCACCAGCAACCACGCAGGCUCAGCCGCAGUCAUCUUUGGAGGCUACUAGCGAACAGCAGAAUAGUGAGUUUGAGCAAAUGGAUACGGGUCUGGAUUUCGCACCGGCUAGUGCUGUUCCCAGUGGCGCUGCCUCUGCAAAUCCAUUCGCUAGUCCCGACGAAGAAGAAGAGACUUAUCCACCGCCAUCUGCUGUGACGAAUAUAUUUGCAGUCGAAGAUAUUGACCCUACACUUGUGACCAACAUCUUUACUACAGCAACAGACACCAUGACAACAUCUGCUGUGCCAGUUAAUAUUUUUGCACCGGAUCUUGAACCAGAAGCUUUGGCUAUCACAGCAAAUUCAUACACUGCUAAUAACAUUUUUGCCAGCGAGCCAGAUGAAUUUGACGCUUUCUCGGCCAAAUUUGAUUCUGUUAAGAAGGAUAAUGUAAGCAUACUGGAUGGCUUUGGUGGUUCGGGUGCUGUGACUCCUUCAGGCGGUGACGCUUGGGGUGACAGUGCAUUUGGCUCACCCGCAGCGGCAACUAAUGUUUUUGGCGUGACCGAUGGUUUCGAGAAUGAGGAUGAUGACUUCUACGCAAUGAAAGCACCUGUUCGCGCCGAUUCGGUUGAGUCCGUAGACAAGGAAUUCAAUGUCGUUAUUCGGCCCAAAGGCGAAAGCACACAGGGAAUUGCACCACAAUUGGCACCGCCGCCGCCACCAGCGCGUAGCGCUGUCGGUCAAGUUUCCAGCGACACAUCGCCUGUUGUCAAUCCCUUCGAAGAUACUGGUUUCCCGGCACCAACGAUAAGUGAAGAAAACAAAGUAAAACGCACAGACUCACAGGAUACACCACAAACCCCGUUGUUCGAUGAAGAUGUCUCGCAGCCA